UUGAACCCAUGAAUGAUGAAUCACGAGACGCUUCAGAUUUUUGCAGCAUAUGAUUUUUUGAUUCCCGUUCAUUAAUAACCGUUAUCAUUCCCGUUCAUUAAUACCCGUGUUAGAUAAGUUUUUGACCUAAAGCAGUAUGUGAAGUUAUUGUGAACCAGUAAAACUUGAAGAUUGAAGAGUUGAUUCGACGUGCUAUCUAUGAAAUUUUGCCCUUUUUGGGCUCUUGUAAAGUCUUGUUAAUCGUAUUCUAACGAAUGGGAACAAUAGGAAUUGGGUCAGUUUGAGUGAUCGCCUGGGCGCCUGUCGCAGACAAGGAUUUUCAUUUGACAGGUGAAUCACGUAUCGUACAGAAGAAGCAGGACAGAAAGUUGUUUUUUUCGUUUCCGAUCACCUUCGUCCGAAGAUGGAAAACUAGCGCAUUAUAACGAGCGAUCUGCAAACCUUGAGCAGCUCAAUUUUUUAAGCAGGAUAAACCGUAAAUGUAUGGUGAGAAGACAUGGACCGCAGCAGCACGCCUAUUCGACACCUGAUGGACAGCAUGUUGGACAGUGUUGUUGAAACAACGUCGCAGUUGAACAAAUUGCAAUACGCUACGAUUAUCUCUGAUGAUAAUGAAAACGCAGCCCUUACGAGAGCGACCAAUGUUUUCACCGGAAACUCGGAUAACACCGCCAUUAAUUCCGCAACGCCUGAUUUGGACUAUGGAUUCCACAACCAGUCUAGCGAGCGACAGUCCAGCUUGCAUGAUUUAGGAACAAGAAAGGAAAGGACGCCAUCACCGGAAAUCGGAGAGGCUGUGCCGACGAGGAGGGCACGCUCCAGUUCACCGGAAAUUGCAGAAUGUUACCGCUGCUCUGCAGGCGGGUCUGGCGGUAACAACGGUGUUUAUCGAGAGGGUGAUUCCGGUUUGGGCUUGCCUGACGAAGAAAUGGAAUGCGAUAGUGAGAAAUUCCCGUAUCUUGACCGUCUGGAAAAGGAAUACUUGAAAUGCACCGAAGAAUACGAAAAAUUUUCAUCUGUAUACGAGGAUGGCCAGGACGAAGAUUCAGACGAUGAAGAACGAGCUUGUGACAGAAUUGAAGUGCUUAAAAUGCCAAAGAAUUCGCCCGAGAAAGACUGAUUUCUUAUUGUCAAAGAAAACGCGUCACAUCGAGGGUGUUGGAUCCAGAAAUCACAGCAUUUCGUCCAUGGAAGGGAUCUGAUUCGACGAUUGUGAAUGCCUUCAUGACAAGCAGUAUUAAUUCCCGAUUGAAACCCUCAUUUGACGAGUGUCACAAUAUGGUCCGGAAAGCUUGCAAGAGCGAACGAUGGGGACAAAAUAAUGCUGAAAACGAAGAACUGGCUCGAAAACUAAUUCACGAAAUUCAUGUUUGCGUGGAUAAUAUCAGGAAUAUUCAUAGCUCGCAUUCCUUUGCGAAAUUGCUAACGGAACUUGAUGGUCAAGACGUACAAGUUGACCCAGAAGUAGAAUGCCGAUAUGAAUCCACUUUAGAACAAGCGCGCACUCGAUGGGAUGAUGCUAAAUUCGAUGUGGACGGUGGCGAAAAUUCCGAAGAAAACGAUUGGUCAGGACUAGCUUCAGAUCAUUCUCCUACGCCAUCUGCAUCUGGCUUUUCCAGAAAGCCUAAGUUUUCUUUCUCAAACACUCGGUCAGCGGUUACUGCCCAAUCGCUCCUCAUGGCAGCUGUUCAACGGUAUAAUGAUCUCUUUACUCCGCGGCGUGUGGCGCUGCAUCCAGUCCCAUCAGAAUCGGUACCGCGGUCAUUUCUCCAGGCUUCUGAUUGCCGGACAAGGAAGUUCCACAUCAGACGUCGGCCGGAGAAUCAGAACGAUACUGACCAGGGUGAGAACAGGCAACCACCUCCUAAAAAGCGAAAAUCUUCCAUUUCAGACACAACGUUCGAAAAUGCCUCAACUCUUUCGCUUAUUACUCGCACCGCCACCCCUUUCGUUCAAGUUCAGAUACCCGUGACGGUUAUUCCAAUGGAAUAUGCUAGAUUUACGGUGCGUAUCAAGAAAAAACUUGGCGGAUGAAUAUUGAUUUUCUUGUUAGUUUGAUUUCGGGAUUUACGUACAUCAUUAUUUUGGGAAAUGGAGAGUGUAACCGAAUUACGUUAAGACUACUCGUACAGAACAUCAGUGUUAUUUUGUCUGUAUUUCAACUUUUAAACCAUAAAUCAUUUCAUGUGUCAUAAAUCAUUACUUGUAUCAUUUCACAGUCAGUUCAGCUGUAAUGCACAUGCAAAAUGCUCCAGCAAAUAAUAAUAAUAGUAAUAUAAU
Paramacrobiotus metropolitanus is the source of this 2280-nucleotide long non-coding RNA. RefSeq lists it as uncharacterized. Lineage: Eukaryota; Metazoa; Tardigrada; Eutardigrada; Parachela; Macrobiotidae. The record is from RefSeq and is a predicted model, not a curated record. The transcript has 6 exons.